RNAcentral lists this ribosomal RNA (433 nucleotides) under uncultured bacterium. RNAcentral's name for it is "partial 16S ribosomal RNA". It matches the Rfam family "Bacterial small subunit ribosomal RNA", at positions 29 to 507 of the family's 1533-position model. The record is from RNAcentral.
AGCGAACGCUGGCGGCAUGCCUAACACAUGCAAGUCGAACGAGACCUUCGGGUCUUGUGGCGCACGGGUGCGUAACGCGUGGGAACCUGCCCUUAGGUUCGGCAUAACUCCCCGAAAGGGGUGCUAAUACCGGAUAAUGUCUUCGGACCAAAGAUUUAUCGCGUUUGGAUGGGCCCGCGUUGGAUUAGCUAGUUGGUAGGGUAAAAGCCUACCAAGGCGCCGAUCCAUAGCUGGUCUGAGAGGAUGAUCAGCCACACUGGGACUGAGACGCGGCCCAGACUCCUACGGGAAGCAGCAGUGGGGAAUAUUGGACAGUGGGCGAAAGCCUGAUCCAGCAAUGCCGCGUGAGUGAUGAAGGCCUUAGGGUAGUAAAGCUCUUUUACCCGGGAUGAUAAUGACAGUACCGGGAGAAUAAGCUCCGGCUAACUCCGUG